CUUUACUGUAGCCUGGAAUCGGGUCCGGGCUUUGCUUGCGCAGGAUAGGUGGGAGGCGUUGAACUUACCCUUGUGGGGGUAGGGGAGCCAACGGUGAGAUACCACUCUGGCGAAGCUAGGAUUCUAACCCGACUCCGUAAUCCGGAGCGGGAACAAUUUCAGGUGGGCAGUUUGACUGGGGCGGUCGCCUCCUAAAGUGUAACGGAGGCGCGCAAAGGUUCCCUCAGGCUGGUUGGAAAUCAGCCGUAGAGUGUAAAGGUAGAAGGGAGCUUGACUGUAAGAGUGACAACUCGAGCAGGUAGGAAACUAGGCCUUAGUGAUCCGACGGUGCCGCGUGGAAGGGCCGUCGCUCAACGGAUAAAAGUUA
Molecule: ribosomal RNA, 367 nt
Filed under: uncultured organism
Description: bacterial LSU rRNA
Rfam family: Bacterial large subunit ribosomal RNA
Source: RNAcentral